RNAcentral lists this ribosomal RNA (234 nucleotides) under Caenorhabditis elegans. RNAcentral's name for it is "partial 28S ribosomal RNA". It matches the Rfam family "Eukaryotic large subunit ribosomal RNA", at positions 1 to 222 of the family's 3401-position model. The record is from RNAcentral. Lineage: Eukaryota; Metazoa; Nematoda; Chromadorea; Rhabditida; Rhabditidae.
CUCAACCUGAACUCAGUCGUGAUUACCCGCUGAACUUAAGCAUAUCAUUUAGCGGAGGAAAAGAAACUAAAAAGGAUUCCCUUAGUAACGGCGAGUGAAACGGGAAGAGCCCAGCGCCGAAUCGAUCAGUCUUUGGCUGCUUCGAAAUGUGGCGUAUAGGUGUAAGUUUCCAGCAGUGUCGUAUGUCCGAAGUCCUUACGAUUGAGGCCAUAAACCAGAGAGGGUGCGAGCCCC